UGGGGAAUUUUGGACAAUGGGCGAAAGCCUGAUCCAGCAAUGCCGCGUGUGUGAAGAAGGCCUUCGGGUUGUAAAGCACUUUUGUCCGGAAAGAAAUCCUUGGCUCUAAUACAGUCGGGGGAUGACGGUACCGGAAGAAUAAGCACCGGCUAACUACGUGCCAGCAGCCGCGGUAAUACGUAGGGUGCAAGCGUUAAUCGGAAUUACUGGGCGUAAAGCGUGCGCAGGCGGUUUGCUAAGACCGAUNUGAAAUCCCGGCUCAACUGGGAACUGCAUUGGUGACUGGCAGGCUAGAGUAUGGCAGAGGGGGGUAGAAUUCCACGUGUAGCAGUGAAAUGCGUAGAGAUGUGGAGGAUACCGAUGGCGAAGGCAGCCCCCUGGGCCAAGUACUGACGCUCAUGCACGAAAAGCGU
RNAcentral lists this ribosomal RNA (413 nucleotides) under uncultured bacterium. Its description in RNAcentral is "partial 16S ribosomal RNA". It matches the Rfam family "Bacterial small subunit ribosomal RNA", at positions 355 to 762 of the family's 1533-position model. The record is from RNAcentral.